UGGGGGAUAUUGCACAAUGGGCGAAAGCCUGAUGCAGCGACGCCGCGUGGGGGAUGAAGGCUUUCGGGUUGUAAACCUCUUUCGCUAUCGAACAAGGCCCGCUUAGGGUGGGUUGAGGGUAGGUGGAGAAGAAGCGCCGGCUAACUACGUGCCAGCAGCCGCGGUAAUACGUAGGGCGCGAGCGUUGUCCGGAAUUAUUGGGCGUAAAGGGCUUGUAGGCAGCUUGUUGCGCCUGCUGUGAAAACGCGGGGCUUAACUUCGCGCGUGCAGUGGGUACGGGCAGGCUUGAGUGUGGUAGGGGUGACUGGAAUUCCAGGUGUAGCGGUGGAAUGCGCAGAUAUCUGGAGGAGCACCGAUGGCGAAGGCAGGUCACUGGGCCAUUACUGACGCUGAGGAGCGAAAGAAUGGGUAGCGAACAGG
This 420-nucleotide ribosomal RNA is filed under the name bacterium. RNAcentral's name for it is "partial 16S ribosomal RNA". It matches the Rfam family "Bacterial small subunit ribosomal RNA", at positions 355 to 776 of the family's 1533-position model. The record is from RNAcentral.